CGGGCUGUAGUAUAGCGGUAGUAUACAUGCUUUGGGAGCAUGAAGUCAGGGUUCGACUCCCUGCAGCCCGACAA
This 74-nucleotide transfer RNA is filed under the name Candidatus Vogelbacteria bacterium RIFOXYD2_FULL_44_9. RNAcentral describes it as "tRNA-Pro". It matches the Rfam family "tRNA". Rfam says of the family: Transfer RNA (tRNA) molecules are approximately 80 nucleotides in length. Their secondary structure includes four short double-helical elements and three loops (D, anti-codon, and T loops). Further hydrogen bonds mediate the characteristic L-shaped molecular structure. tRNAs have two regions of fundamental functional importance: the anti-codon, which is responsible for specific mRNA codon recognition, and the 3' end, to which the tRNAs corresponding amino acid is attached (by aminoacyl-tRNA synthetases). tRNAs cope with the degeneracy of the genetic code in two manners: having more than one tRNA (with a specific anti-codon) for a particular amino acid; and 'wobble' base-pairing, i.e. permitting non-standard base-pairing at the 3rd anti-codon position. The record is from RNAcentral. Lineage: Bacteria; Candidatus Vogeliibacteriota.